AGGAAUUCACUGCAAAUGUCAAAACAAAUCAGUCAAAACCGCAAUUUUGUUUACCACAUUCGUCUCGCACCAAUUGAACCCAGCGCCGACUGCCACCAAUCUGUUUUCUGGUUUGCAGGUCAGCUCGAAAAUACACACCAAAGUGCGGAGCGUAACGCAGGCGCGGAUACGGAUACAGAGCAGCAAUUAAACAAACAAUACAAUCACUUCACAGCUGCGUGAUAUUGUAAUGCUGUAUGAAAAUUUGUAGGCAAUCUGCCAAACGCCAACCACAAUAUACUACACACUAUUUUCGAAGAACGGUAAGCGCUGUAUAUGUAUGGUAAGGAAAAAAAUAAAAAUAAAAACAGAGGGAAACCCUGACGGAGAAAAAACUAGUAGGCAGCAGCAGUCAGCCGUCAGAAGCCAGGAGAAUUUAAUAGCGCAAAAAUAAAACGCGCGAAAAUUGUAAACAGUACGAGCUGCAGUGAUUAAUCGACAACUCAUUGCGAAAAGCUCUGUUGUGAUCUGUUGGUAAACAAAGUCUCGGCGUAGACUGCAGCUGAUAACAAGCGACAUCGAGGAGCAACAAUGCGAUUGACCUGAAUCGCUGGCUGGCAGCCGAGCUGAGCUCAUAGACACGUUCGAUACGAGGAGCAGAGUACAAACCCAAGACGUUGCUCUUGUCUUAGAUGAACGAGCAACAUGAAUUGCUUAACGAAUGGCGCCUACAAGCCGGACUGACGAUAGCGUGGUAUGCUAAUUUUAGACAACGCCACACGAGUAAACAACUUCGGACCGCAUCCUUCAACCACUUUUCAAAGCUCAUACAUACUCGUACAUACGCGAUCUGCUCCGCAAAUGCAGUGGAAUGCAAUAAUCUUUACAAAUGCUAAAGCUAUCAGCUAGAUAUAUACAUGUACAUAUUGAGCAUACCAUAUUUUACACAUAAACAACAACAAAUGUGUCCUAUUGAAUUUCGCGGACUUUGAACGGAGCAGCCUUCAUUCACUCGGGCGCAUACGUAACCAACAGCGCCACCAGCAUAGACUCGCGCAGACGCUUUUAAUGUUGACAACGUGGCGUGUGCAUACAUGCAUAUACAGUUACGUUUACGACUUAUUAUGCUGAUCCAUUAAAUCCAUUACAUAUGCGGCGCGUGCCUGCAUGGUGAACUCACAUCCGCCGCGCACUUCCGCACCUACCGUAAUUUAUACGAUGGCGUCAAUGAUCAAUGAUGCCUAAGGGUUGUGGUUGUAUGUCAGAAAACCACAGAAAAUAAAUUGAAUUAUUUCAUUUGAAUUAAGUGCCGGUGCGAUCGUAUCAACAUUGAUGAAACAGAACCGUGUAUAGUUCGUUCUUUAUAGCAUUAUUAAUAUUUGCAACACUUGCCGGGUUCAUCGCACCGCUACUGUAAGUUUUAAAAUAUUGUCUAUGCUUGUUUGCAUUUGCACACUUUCGGGGUCUAAAAAUUGGCGGAAUCCGAAUGAUAGUUGAAUGAUAAUUAAUAGGUUGAGUUGAAAUUGGUAUAGUGGUCUAUUGGCGGCAGCGUGAGUUUACUUUUCCCUUGCUAGGCGAAACCUUAGCCAAAUUAUCUAACUUGAUAUUAACAAACGCUUAGACUUAUCAUAUUAUAGAUUUUCAUAACGAUAUAACGAGUUAUGUGAUCUACGACUUCAAUAGCAACUAUUUAUAAUCUUUAAUAGCAACUAUAUAUGUAUAUAGAUAUAUCUGGUAAAGUUCCCUCAACAAGCAACGAUAAAAAUAUUUCGAGUUUAUAAAAAUUAUCAUGACCUGACUAGUAUUUUCAUAUUUAUCAGAGGCGGUGUUAACAGCUGUUCAAAUCAUCACAGUUACUUACAGAGUAUAGCUGGAAGAGUAUAACGUUUUAAUCACAACAGUAGUGCCCAAAUUGUUCUGGUACCAUAAAAAAGGAGCAUGCGAAUUUCCAAUGCCACCGUUUCACUGAAGAAAGAAAAGUAACCGAAGCUACACUCGGUUUCACAUAGCACACUGAAAUGAAAUUUUUGGUAGGAUUUCAAUCUGAUCGUUCCUGACUUACUGGUUGCUAAACAUCAAUAAUACCACUAACAAAGUUUGGUAGAUGAUUUACGCUCUUAACCUCCAAUGAGAAGCUAUAUUUUUUUUUGUCAAACCAGCGACAUCUAAUGGACAUGAGGUCACGGUAUUCCAAGGACGCCAGCUACAACAAAAAUGGCUAAAAGUGAAAUAAAUGAAACUCCUAUACAUAUGCGUAGUGAAUAUAUGGUACAGACUGUACAACGGAAGAAAAAUUAACCGACGGCAAACGGCGUACGACUGAGUAUACUUACUUCCGACGGCUUUUGAAAAUCAACUAUACAAUAGGUUAAACCGUUAGAAAUAAAAGUAGGACAAUCACCUUAGUAAUGAAAAUAUAUUAUAUAUUGUACAAGGCGCAAUGUGUACAUAUAGUAUAUAUGCCAGAGCAUUGACUGUGAUACAAAAUAAAGGCAAUCGCUUUAGAUUGCCACUCAAGGACUUUAUUAUUUGUAUAGCAAACGUAUUUUCAAUGCGCAAAGCUCUUACUUAAUUGCAUCGUUUUCAGCAAAAAAAAGUACACAUGUGCGUAUAUAUACAUAUGUACAUAAGUAACCGAUCAUUGACCCAAACGAAUUUAAACUAAUAAUCAUACAGACAUUUAACAGUUUAAGAAUAGACAAAUAUAUAUGUACAUACAUAUGUAUGUAUAUAAAAGAAUUUAUAGAAAAUUAUUCAAUGAAAAUAUUAUUCGAUUAUGUAUACGGUACCCACCCGACUCUUUUAGCAAGUAACAAAACUUUUCUUUUCUCGCAGAAGAAAGUCUGGUUUAUGAAAGAUUGCAUCAAUUGAAAGUUCGGGGAAUUAAAUUAUUCUAACACUUUUUUCUUUAAAUACUGACUAGCAGGAAUAUCGAAGGUGGACAUCAUGGGACAAUUGAUUUUAAAAGAGGUUUUAUAAUUAUUUAUCUUUAAAAGUUUAAGAAAUAUGGAAUGCCAGCUUCCACUUCCGGAUUUGACGUGAGUUUUAAUUCGAUAAAAAUAUUUGAAGUCAGGGUAUUCAAACCGACAUGACGGUUUAAAAUAUAAUAUAUUAGGUAUUAUCAAAGGAUUACCAUUUAAAAUAAAUAUCUAUGAUUUGUUGAUAUAUACAUAAAAUUAUAAAAAUAUACUAAGUAUGUCAUUCAAACAUUUCAUAAAAUGACAUCGAAAGUAAGAUUGUAGGGGUUAAAAACUGAAAGCUAAAAAAGUGUAAUGCUUCUUAAAACAAAAAAGUCGAGUCUACAGGUAUAUCUGACAUAAAUGUAAAUUAAGAUUUUAUAGGCGAAAUUUGGACACAUGAUUCAACGUGAAAGGGCCAUUCAUUCACACUCUUUAACAUGAAGCUUUUUUUUAUAAAAUUAUUCAGCAUUUCAAUUUCGUUUUUUUAAUACUACCAAAAAAAAGGAAUAAUACGUAUGCACUUUUUUCUGAUUGGACACCCCUCUGGAUAUGAAGUUUGUUUCUCUUGGUUUGGUAAUUCUGUGAAGAAACAUUAAUAAUUUCCGUGAUGCUAAUCAUAUCGAUCUUGAACUUCUGGAAAUAAAUAGUUUAGAUGUGUAUUUAUACAUAUAACAAAUAUAUUGUUAAUCAGUGUAUUUAUUACAUACAUAUUUAGAUGUUAUUGUUUUAAAAUGUUAUUGAUUUUUUUUGUCAUUCUUCCAAAUUUUGGUUCGCACUUGCGUAUGUAUGUACUUAAAUAUAUACAUAUUUAUGUAUGUACCAUAUGUGUUACUUAGCAUGUGAAUAGCAUGUGCUACAUUAGCAGAUAAAAACAUUGACGAACUUUUACUCGCUAAUAUGGUAAGUAAGAAAGGUCAAAGUUGGAGUGCAACCCAAUGCUAUGAACCACUACCACUUUAGAUAAACAAUUUCUUUCCAAAUAUUAUUAUUUCUUUUUGGAAAAUCAGUGAUGUGGUAACCACUGAGUAAUGAAAAUUUACAAGUUCAUUAUCUUCUUUAAAAUAUUUAAAAUUAUGACGUAGGGCAACAUUCUUUUUUUUUUCUAAAAAACGGAAUUCAUUAUCUUAGUGAUAUGCAGGCUAGAACAUGGUUUGGACCGUUUUAUUUCGUAUUUAACUACUGCGAUCAAGAAAACAUGUAUACAUAAUUUCAUUAAAGUAUCACACACAUUGACCGAUAUAUUCAGUAUAAAGACAACCGGGUAUUGAUGUAAGAGAUACUGAUUUCAUUUAUAGGUACUUUGGGUAUUAUUGAGAAGAUAUUUCCACUUAAUUUUUUUGGGGCCCCGGUUUUGCAGUCAUAAUUAUAUACAAUUCAUUGAAAAAUUACUCAUCAAUUUAUUUCAACAUGGUCGUUAACUAUAUAACCAGACGCUUCAUUUCAUUAGUAAUAGAGUAAUCAUUAUCUUGGCAACAUUUUCCCUUGUUAUGCGGUAGAAAAACAACUCAGUUGAUUCGUUUUCUCCUUUUAUGUUGAGACUUGCAAAAUUUUUGAGUUGAAUGAGCUCUUUACAUAAGGAGGCUCCUAAGUAUUUCAGUAUGUUUCCACAAUAUUCUCAUGUGUGUUAGCUUAACAAUAAAAUUAAAUCGCUCGUAAACCAAAUCGGAAGCGGGAUUUCUGUUUUCAAGUGCACUAAUCAAUGCGUCAAUGACUGGAAGAAAAGCUUCGAAAUUUGUCCCUAGUUGAAAGUUGCACUGCCGAUGCCUGAGAACCAAAACGUUAAAAGCGAAUUCCAGGGAAAAUUUUUAAAUUCCUUCUAAAUACUUUACGCCAACAUCCUAUCUUCUGUGUGAUUCGUGGAUUAAUUUUUAACCUUUAAGAUUAAUGCUAUACACAACUUUAGAAAAAACAAGUAAGAAAGUUCUAAGUUCGGGUGUAACUGAACAUUUUACACUAUCGCAACUUGCAAGGAUCAAAGCCCGGGAAAUUACUUCAGGUGUUGGCAAUAUUUUAUAUUAAAGGAAGUAUAGAUCCGAUUCAACCCAUUUUUGACACAAAGACAUGAAAGAAAAGGCAAGAGAGUUAUAUAUUUAUA
Bactrocera oleae (olive fruit fly) is the source of this 5034-nucleotide long non-coding RNA. RefSeq lists it as uncharacterized. Lineage: Eukaryota; Metazoa; Arthropoda; Insecta; Diptera; Tephritidae. The record is from RefSeq and is a predicted model, not a curated record.